AUGGUAUAUAAUGAAUAGUGCUUGCAGGCGAGCGGCAAAACGGAAGCCGGUGUAAAUCCGGAGCAGUCCCCGCUGCCGUGAGGGAGCUUUGCGCGCGUCGUAAUGUCACUGAGGAGAAUUCCUGGGGAAGGCAGGCGCCGCAAGGGGCUGUAUCAGAGAAAAAGCCCGGAUCCCGAGCCGGAAGACCUGCCCCAUCGGCAAGCAGGCA
RNAcentral lists this non-coding RNA (208 nucleotides) under Eubacterium sp. Lineage: Bacteria; Bacillati; Bacillota; Clostridia; Eubacteriales; Eubacteriaceae. The record is from RNAcentral.